Crotalus tigris (Tiger rattlesnake) is the source of this 407-nucleotide long non-coding RNA. RefSeq lists it as uncharacterized. Lineage: Eukaryota; Metazoa; Chordata; Lepidosauria; Squamata; Viperidae. The record is from RefSeq and is a predicted model, not a curated record. The transcript is spliced from 3 exons.
AUUUUUGCCACUUUCUGCAUUUCUCCGAACAAAACAAAACAACAGCAACAAAAAGUAGCAGAAAAACAGUUCAUCCGAGGUGCCAUUAGCCUGUAAUCUUUGGAUGGAGAAAGAGCUUCAUUCUUCUCCCAAGAAUGAAUCCUGCAUAAAAUGAAUGCCAAACAGCAGAAACCAGCUUUAAGACUCGCCGUCAAUUAAACAAAUUAAAAUGUCCACCGUGUUCCAAAUCAGUUUGUGAAGAAGUGGAGGAGAUGGAAAUAGCCUUUCAUUUACAGCCGUGCUGUUAAGUCUGGACAGCUGUUCUAGGGCUGAUCUUCUGAAGCCAGAAUGAGGAACGAGCUGAACAUCUGAGCGAAUGCAUCUCAGCCCAGAAGCAACCCUGUAGAAGACUUUGUUCUUCCAUUAUG